RNAcentral lists this long non-coding RNA (802 nucleotides) under Chlamydomonas reinhardtii. Its description in RNAcentral is "long non-coding RNA (CREI_LNC000353)". The record is from RNAcentral. Lineage: Eukaryota; Viridiplantae; Chlorophyta; Chlorophyceae; Chlamydomonadales; Chlamydomonadaceae.
CUACCUACCGCCCUGACUACUAUAACCACCGCAGCUGUGCCAAGCACAGCCGACCACCGGCUAGACUGCAUCCCUACAGCUGACCAAAUCAACUCUUGCCCAAACACGCCCACCAACUCACACGCACUUCUGCCAACGCCCUCACCCUCUACUCCCCGCAUAUACUACGCCACACCGCCACUACAAUCACAAUAUCAAGGUGAGCUGAAUGCGCGCAUGGCUACCACAGACAGCCGCACGGAGGAUUAUACAAUAGCCCCCAAUGUCCGCCACUACCAGCCGCCGCGGACCACCAGCCCAACGAAGCCCAGGCCAGCCGUGAUAACUGAAGUAACUCACAGCUCACACACUGAAUGCUGCUGCAUCACUUGCGCGCACGGUAUCUUAUUACCCGACAGCCACACUCCUCUCAUAGCAUAUGCAGCUCACAUAAUUUUGCCCGGCGUCACCCGCCAGCCUAGCCAGCCAGACUGCUACUACAGUGUCGCGCCUGCCAGCCCUGCCCGACGCCCCUCAACUUGCCUCGCCCUGCCGCCCACUAACUCACACGCACUCCUGCCAACGCCCUCACCCUCUACUCCCCGCAUAUACUACGCCACACCGCCACUACAAUCACAUUAUCAAGGUGAGCUGAAUGCGCGUAUGGUUAACAGAGACAGCCGCACGGAGGAUUAUACAAUAGCCCCCAAUGUCCGCCACUACCAGCCGCCGCGGACCACCAGCCCAACGAAUCCCAGGCCAGCCGUGAUAACUGAAGUAACUCACAGCUCACACACUGAAUGCUGCUGCAUCACUCGUGCGC